This 1128-nucleotide long non-coding RNA is filed under the name Olea europaea (common olive). RNAcentral describes it as "long non-coding RNA (OEUR_LNC001783)". Lineage: Eukaryota; Viridiplantae; Streptophyta; Magnoliopsida; Lamiales; Oleaceae. The record is from RNAcentral.
UAAAAACAUGGAAAAUUGCCUAAAUUCCUCUUUUUCCAUCAUCCCCAAAAUUCUUCCCUUGGGCUACCGAUCCGCUGCCUCCUUCCAUCAAUAACAACCACCACCCGCCACCUAUGCCAUUGGAUCCACACACCAUCGGCACCCCUUCACCUCCUUCUAAAACCUCCGACCAUCGCCUUCCCACCAGACCGUCACCUUUAGCCCCUUCCUUAUCUUUAGAAUCCCUUUUAAAGUUUUCUAAAGUUUUAAAGUAAAGUAAGCUCAAGCUGAAUCUUCUCAAAGAAUAAACGGUCCUCCAAAGUCUCUAAAGGCUUCGGUGUUUUCUACAUAUACGGUGGCGGUUUUACAGCUCCAGCGGUAGCUCGUAAACUCGCUCCUCUCCUAAAGCUAUUGCUAUUAAAUUUGGUCAACUAACGAUUACGGCUUCUUCGAAAGUGUUCAACAACCACCACCCGCCACCUAUGCCAUUGGAUCCACACACCAUCGGCACCCCUUCACCUCCUUCUAAAACCUCCGACCAUCGCCUUCCCACCAGACCGUUGAAAACAACACCAAUUCCCAUCGAAAACCGCGAGCACAGUCAAGAUUUUUUCCCAGUUACUUCCACAUCCGACCACCCUCUCGAUCAUGGAGCACCACAACAACAUUCCUCUCAAUCAAGCACAUCUAGUUCUACCAUGGGUCACCCUCAAUUUUAUCUAGAAUCGGUUGAGCUUGUUGGAGCAGUCUGUGAGAUUUGUGAAAAAUUUUGGUCCAACAAAUUUGAUGAAAUUUCACUAUUGCAAACGAUUAAUUUUGUUGUCGAGGUGUGUUUUUUGAAGCAUUUUGUUUUUCUAAACUUUGGGAUUUUAUAUUAUUAAGAGAUGGUAAUAUAUGGCUUCCAAUUUUUUUGAGGUUCUGUGGUUGAAAUUAUUGUGUCAUGGCUCAUAUUUUGUUCUGUUCAAGAAUGUACAAAGAAUCCAAUUACGUUCUAAGACAAUUGGUGAGUUUGAAUAAAAGUUAUAAUGACAGUAAGAUUAAUGUAUUUCCUUGUGAUAUAUUUGAUGGAUUGUGGUUGACCAGAAAUGUUUGUGUUCCAAUUUGUGGAGAUUUUGAUGCUUUAUUUAGUGUGUUGAGUUGGUGAAGAAG